Molecule: non-coding RNA, 1104 nt
Organism: Arachis ipaensis
Lineage: Eukaryota; Viridiplantae; Streptophyta; Magnoliopsida; Fabales; Fabaceae
Source: RefSeq, a predicted model, not a curated record
UCUCCUUAUAGUUGGGGUUUGUGUACGUGGCACUGUUCUGGCAGGUUCAUGGAGAGCUUGAUACCAGAGUCGGGCAAGCCAGUUCUCUGAGUGCCCAAAUUAGACAUUUCUACCCCUCGUUAUCAGCAACACUUGGUGUUGGAUUGCGCUAUGAUAAGCAUGAGAAGAUACGCUACACUGUGCGUGCAAAGAAGACAUUCCCUGUCACCGUUGAUAAGCUCUUUACUUUAAAAUUAAUGGGACUUGAUCCGUCUUGUGCUUUCAUCAUGCAUGCGUACGAAAGUGUUCAUGAAGUUUUCUUAACUGAUUGAUUUGCUUGUGAUGAUAUUUGAUUUUGGCACAGGAGGGUCUUGUGGAGAUAAGGGAAGAUUAUAUAGAAGAUUCUCACAAAGGGGAAACGAAAUCAACAUCUUUUAUUGAUGUAUUGGCUCCGGCAGAACUUGAAGGAAUUUUCAUGAGCCACCCUUCUAUUGAAGAUGCAGCUGUUGUCCCGCAAAAAGAUGAUGUAGCUGGUGAAGUUCCAGUUGCUUUUGUGGUGAGGUCAUCAAAUGAUCCUAUUUGAUCAUAUUACUGAAGAUGCUGUCAAGGACUUUAUAGCUAAACAGUUUAAUAACAGUGUUUCCUCAAGUACAAGAAUUGAAAUUGGAACCUUCACGACUCCACCACCAAAUUAGAACCUUUAAGGGAUGUGAAUCUUUUUGGUCCUUGGCUGAAUAAACAAAGUGCAACUGCAGGAGUAGCUCCUCUCACAAGUCACAACAACAGCAUCAUGCUUGAAUGAGGAAAAUUAACUCUUGAUUUAUAAUUUGCUUGAUCUGUUGAAAAUUCUGAUAAGAACUCCCUCCUAAUUGUGGAUUGGAGUUCAAUUUUAGCAUCCUGAAGUAGCACUUUAGGAAUUAAUUUAAUGAUAUGAUUAUAUUCAUAGGAAAGUAACUAUAAUGAGGAACUUGUUUAUUGGGAUAGUCAUCUUAUAUUUUUGGGGUAUCUUUUUAUUGAGACAGUGAGAUAUUGACUAAUGGUGUUAAAAAAUAACAUCCAAUUUUAUAGGUAUCAUGUAAUGAAUAUUAUGUUUAUUUAUGUGAUUUUUGGCUUUCUUUUUUUCAA